GGAAGUGCAGCGGCGUUGCCAUGGCGACCGUGGUACCUGGUGCCCCUCCUGCUCAACCAGGCUGGAUCCCUGCUCUUCUACCUCACCUUGGCCUCCACAGACCUGUCCCUGGCAGUGCCACUCUGCAACUCCCUGGCUUUGGUUGUGACCUUGGUGACUGGGAAGAU
Pyrgilauda ruficollis (rufous-necked snowfinch) is the source of this 167-nucleotide long non-coding RNA. RefSeq lists it as uncharacterized. The record is from RefSeq and is a predicted model, not a curated record. The transcript has 3 exons. NCBI's taxonomy places the organism in Eukaryota, Metazoa, Chordata, Aves, Passeriformes, Passeridae.